RNAcentral lists this ribosomal RNA (498 nucleotides) under uncultured bacterium. RNAcentral describes it as "partial 16S ribosomal RNA". It matches the Rfam family "Bacterial small subunit ribosomal RNA", at positions 30 to 523 of the family's 1533-position model. The record is from RNAcentral.
AUUGAACGCUGGCGGCAUGCUUUACACAUGCAAGUCGAACGGUAACAGGCCUUCGGGCGCUGACGAGUGGCGAACGGGUGAGUAAUGCAUCGGAACGUGCCCAGUCGUGGGGGAUAACUAUCCGAAAGGAUAGCUAAUACUGCAUACGAUCUGCGGAUGAAAGCGGGGGACCUUCGGGCCUCGCGCGAUUGGAGCGGCCGAUGUCAGAUUAGGUAGUGGGUGGGUUAAAGGCUCACCAAGCCAACGAUCUGUAGCUGGUCUGAGAGGUUGACCACCCACAAGGGGGCUGAGACACGGCCCAGACUCCUACGGGAGGCAGCAGAGGGAAAUUUUGGACAAUGGGCGCAAGCCUGAUCCAGCAAUGCCGCGUGCAGGAAGAAGGCCUUCGGGUUGUAAACUGCUUUUGUACGGAACGAAACGGCUCUGGUUAAUACCCGGGGCUAAUGACGGUACCGUAAGAAUAAGCACCGGCUAACUACGUGCCAGCCGCCGCAGUAA